This 497-nucleotide ribosomal RNA is filed under the name uncultured bacterium. RNAcentral describes it as "partial 16S ribosomal RNA". It matches the Rfam family "Bacterial small subunit ribosomal RNA", at positions 28 to 507 of the family's 1533-position model. The record is from RNAcentral.
GACGAACGCUGGCGGCGUGCUUAACACAUGCAAGUCGAACGCUGAAGCCGGGAGUUUGUUCUGCUUGGAUGAGUCGCGAACGGGUGAGUAACGCGUAGGUAAUCUGCCUUGUAGCGGGGGAUCACUAUUGGACAUGAUAGAUAAUAGCGCAUUACCUUGGAUGCCACAUGUCGUUUAUUUGAAUGGGGCAAUUGCUUCACGACAAGGUGGAUCUGCGUUCUAUUGGUCAGUAGGUGAGGUAACGGCUCACCUAGGCGACGGUACAUAGCUGGCCGGAGAGGGUGGGCGGCCGCACGGGGACUGAGACACGGCACAGAGUCCUGCGGGAUGCAGCAGUAGGGAGUCGGCAGCAAUGGGGGCAGCCCUGACCGAGCAAGGCCGCAUGAGUGAAGAGGGAUGUCGGAUCGUGGAGCUCUGUUGUCAGUCGAGAACGAGUGUGAGAGUGGAAAGUUCACGCUGUGACGGUAGCUGACCAGGAAGGGACGGCUAACUACGUG